RNAcentral lists this long non-coding RNA (234 nucleotides) under Olea europaea (common olive). RNAcentral describes it as "long non-coding RNA (OEUR_LNC009284)". The record is from RNAcentral. Lineage: Eukaryota; Viridiplantae; Streptophyta; Magnoliopsida; Lamiales; Oleaceae.
UCGGGGCACAACCUUGCGCUAAAUGUAAGAUAUAAUUUAGCUGCGUGCUCGGGACACGACCUUACACUAAAUGUCAGAAAUUAUUUAGCUGCGUGCUCGGGGCACAGCCUUAUGCUAAAUGUCAAAGUUGAUUUAGCUGCGUGCUCGGGGCACGGCCUUACGCUAAAUGUAUAUUGAAAAAACCAAUGCUAGGGCUCGACUUCAAUAAUGAGAAAAACACGAGUUAAGGCUCGC